RNAcentral lists this non-coding RNA (32 nucleotides) under Homo sapiens (human). Lineage: Eukaryota; Metazoa; Chordata; Mammalia; Primates; Hominidae. The record is from RNAcentral.
UGUAUUGGUGACUGUUGAUUUGUUGGACAAUU